GAGAGCACAAUACAAUGAAAGUUGUGAGUUGUGUUCGGGGGGGAGUUAUUGUCUAUCAUUGGCCUCUAUGGUAGAAUCAGUCAGGGAGGCCUGAGAGACGGUGGUUUACCCUGU
Picea glauca (white spruce) is the source of this 114-nucleotide non-coding RNA. The record is from Rfam. Lineage: Eukaryota; Viridiplantae; Streptophyta; Pinopsida; Pinales; Pinaceae.